GGUUGCGAUCAUACCAGCACUAAUGCACCGGAUCCCAUCAGAACUCCGCAGUUAAGCGUGCUUGGGCGAGAGUAGUACUAGGAUGGGUGACCCCCUGGGAAGUCCUCGUGUUGCCACCC
This 119-nucleotide ribosomal RNA is filed under the name Helianthus annuus (common sunflower). The record is from RNAcentral. Lineage: Eukaryota; Viridiplantae; Streptophyta; Magnoliopsida; Asterales; Asteraceae.